AUCUCAUCAUCUCCUUGAUUGCAAAAUUAAAGGAGUUAGGGAGCUGGAAUCAGAUCCACCUACAGAUCUAGGACGCUUUAAUCCCCCAUUUUUUUCCGCAGUAAUGGUAAUCGGGCACCGUUUUUUCACAAGAUUAUGGGCUGGAUGUGUCAGUGCGGGGAGAAAAAAGAUUGGCUUCUUUCUCAAGAAUGCGCUGAGGAAAAAGACCUGCAAUGUGCGUUAAUUAAAGCUUAUCCGAGGGAAAAGGACGUAACAUAACGGGAAAAGAUGUUCUGGUUAU
Molecule: long non-coding RNA, 280 nt
Filed under: Panicum hallii
Lineage: Eukaryota; Viridiplantae; Streptophyta; Magnoliopsida; Poales; Poaceae
Description: long non-coding RNA (PHAL_LNC000934)
Source: RNAcentral